UACGAAGGGGGCUAGCGUUGUUCGGAUUUACUGGGCGUAAAGCGCACGUAGGCGGCUUUUUAAGUCAGGGGUGAAAUCCUGGAGCUCAACUCCAGAACUGCCUUUGAUACUGAAGAGCUUGAGUUCGGGAGAGGUGAGUGGAACUGCGAGUGUAGAGGUGAAAUUCGUAGAUAUUCGCAAGAACACCAGUGGCGAAGGCGGCUCACUGGCCCGAUACUGACGCUGAGGCACGAAAGCGUGGGGAGCAAACAGG
Molecule: ribosomal RNA, 253 nt
Filed under: uncultured bacterium
Lineage: Bacteria
Description: partial 16S ribosomal RNA
Rfam family: Bacterial small subunit ribosomal RNA
Source: RNAcentral